CCUACGGGUGGCAGCAGUGGGGAAUAUUGCGCAAUGGGCGAAAGCCUGACGCAGCGACGCCGCGUGAGGGAUGAAGGUCUUCGGAUCGUAAACCUCUGUCAGCAGGGAAGAACGGUCACUGUGCUAAUCAGCAGUGAAUUGACGGUACCUGCAAAGGAAGCACCGGCUAACUCCGUGCCAGCAGCCGCGGUAAUACGGAGGGUGCGAGCGUUAAUCUGAAUUACUGGGCGUAAAGCGCUCGUAGGAGGUAUGUCAAGUCAAGGGUGAAAUCCCCGGGCUCAACGUGGGAACUGCCUUUGAAACUGUCAAACUGGAGUGUGUGAGAGGAUAGGGGAAUGCCAGGUGUAGGAGUGAAAUGCGUAGAGAUCUGGAGGAACAUCAGUGGCGAAGGCGACUAUCUGGCACAUUACUGACGCUGAGGAGCGAAAGCGUGGGUAGCAAACAGGAUUAGAUACCCGAGUAGUC
This 465-nucleotide ribosomal RNA is filed under the name uncultured bacterium. RNAcentral's name for it is "partial 16S ribosomal RNA". It matches the Rfam family "Bacterial small subunit ribosomal RNA", at positions 338 to 795 of the family's 1533-position model. The record is from RNAcentral.